This 513-nucleotide ribosomal RNA is filed under the name uncultured bacterium. Its description in RNAcentral is "partial 16S ribosomal RNA". It matches the Rfam family "Bacterial small subunit ribosomal RNA", at positions 28 to 523 of the family's 1533-position model. The record is from RNAcentral.
GACGAACGCUGGCGGCAUGCCUAAUACAUGCAAGUCGAGCGAACAGAUGAAGUGCUUGCACUUCUGACGUUAGCGGCGAACGGGUGAGUAACACGUAAGGAAUCUACCUAUAAGCGGGGGAUAACAUUCGGAAACGGGUGCUAAUACCGCAUAAUAUCUUCUUCCGCAUGGAAGAAGAUUGAAAGACGGCUCUGCUGUCACUUAUAGAUGACCUUGCGGUGCAUUAGUUAGUUGGUGGGGUAAUGGCCUACCAAGACGAUGAUGCAUAGCCGAACUGAGAGGGUGAUCGGCCACAUUGGGACUGAGACACGGCCCAAACUCCUACGGGAGGCAGCAGUAGGGAAUCUUCCGCAAUGGGCGAAAGCCUGACGGAGCAAUGCCGCGUGAGUGAAGAAGGCCUUCGGGUCGUAAAACUCUGUUAUAAGAGAAGAACAAAUUGUAGAGUAACUGCUACAGUCUUGACGGUAUCUUAUCAGAAAGCCACGGCUAACUACGUGCCAGCCGCCGCUGUAA